UUUGUUUUUCAUUUUAUCUUUUCCUUUUUAUUUAUUUUCUUUUUAUGUUUUCUCUUUGUUUCCUAUUGUUUUAGUUUUUUGUAAAAUAUAUACUUGGCAUCUAAUUUAGUAUUUCAAUUUAGUCCAAUGUCACAAAAAAGUCUAGUCCCCAAAUAAUUUGGUUUGAUAUUUUAUUAAUUAGUAAAGGCAUUCAUAAUUAGGUUUGCUACUACUUAAAUCAUUUUAGUGCAGUUAAGCAUUCCAUAAAAGUUUGGUUUCACCACCAUAAUCACCUAUGCAUUAUCUGGCAUGACCUGAACAUUUUAGUUUCAUUGUUUGAAAACUUUUGUUGUUUGCCUGAUUAUUAAUUUGAAUUCGAAUCGGUUUCAAACUAACUCAAGAUUAGCAACAGUAAUCGAGGUGACAUGGCAUCAUUAGCAGAGGUUCACUGUAGCUUAAGUAUCCGGGUGUCACAAUUCUCCUCCACUACAAGAAAUCUUGUCCCGAGAUUUAAGAGGUUCGGUAAGGGGGAAAGUUCCGGUUACGAAUUUCUAACGAAUAUUCUCAGUCUUGGUUGCUCUUCUCAAAGAGGUCGAUCCAUUAUGUUGAUGUCUUAAUUUCUCUGCUUCAGGUCAUCAUGAUGAAGUCGGCAUCCUUUCUUCAGGAACUUGUAACGCCCCGAGACCGACGCUUCAGAAGCGUCCUUAUUUUUCGUGAUCUCCGCGUGUUUCUUUUGGUGCUUGCUCUUUUAUUUUUGCAUUGCAUCAUGUCAUCAUGCCAUCAUGUCUUUAAUCUUUGCAUCAAGCUCAACUAAAUAAAUUGCAUGGAUCUUUGAUCCAUUUAAAUCGAGGGAAUUCACAUGGUGAUUUCUCUUUAUAACAUAUCCUCCUAAUAAUUAUGGAGCUAUUAUAAAUAUUCCAUUAAUUGGAGUUCACCUUAACACACGUGCAAAAUUAAUCCUAUGCCUUUUCUGCUUUGAGUCGAUCUCUCUAACCUUGCCAAUAAUUCUUUUCCCAUUUGUCGAGGCUCUUCCUAAAUUCCUAACAUUUUUGGCCACUCCUAAACCUUGUCCUAGUUCAAAUCAUUUGAAUUUAAAUCAAAUGAGUUUGAAUUUAAAUCUUUCAAUCAUGGCCUUUUCUAUUUUCUCGGAACAAGCACAUUUUUAUGAGUCCGGGAAAAUAGCCUCUUGCCCAAAUCCUUCCCCUAACCCCUUUCUUUUCUCUCCUUUCUUUCAUUGCGAUUUUCUGUUUUUCGGAAAGGUUUUGAAAGAAUUAAGGGGGGGUGGAGAGAGAUCCAGCGCAGCCCAACUCCUCCUGACCUUUCCCCUCUUCACCGAGAUGGCCCAAGGCCCAGCCGCCGCACCCCUACCUAACCCUAGCCCGACCAGCGCUCGAUCCCCAUCUCUCCCUCUCGUCCCUUCCUCCAGCGCCACCAUCUCCCUCGUUCGCCCGAUCCCCAUCUCCCUCUCGUCUCCUCCCUCGCGCUACCUCCCACACAGAAAGAGAGAGGAGCAGAGCCUCGCGCUCCUCCCUCCUCUCGAUCUCUCCCUCCACUCUCUCCCUCGCGCCGCCACUCUCAGGGACGAGCCCGUCUUCUCCUUCCCAAGACCGCCGCCGGCGCCCUGAGCCCUCCGCUCCGCUGUGCCUCCUCCCCUCUGCAGGCCCCCUCUCAUGGCGCCGCCAGCCUCCAGGAGCUCCCCCUCUCAAGCUUCCUCACCGCCGCCUCUCCUCCUGCUUCUCCUCGUCGCCACCAUCCCGCUUUGAGCUCUGCCAUCACCGCGUCCUCCCUCUGCCUCCUCGCCAUGGCCCUCGCGAGCUUCCUUCCGCGCCGCCACUGGAGGCCAACUCCGGCGCCCCCUGCCUCCUCGACCUCCUGACCCCCUCACGCCGAAGCCGCACGGGAGACGAGCUCCCUGCAGCAGCGCCCGACCUCGCGCUCGUCUCUUCGCCCGGACGGCCGCCUCGUCCGCAUCUACCUCGCCGUCGCCGGAGUUCCAAGCCGCAUCGCUGUGUCCUUUGCUUCGUCCUGCUGCUGCCCGUUCCCCUGCUUCACCUGCUUGAGCCGCCGCUGCUCUGCUUCCUAUCGAGCAGAGGAGCUCGCUCGCCCGCUCGUUCGCCUGUGCGUGGCCGCCCAGAUGGGCCACAUCGCUGCCCCGAGCGCCCCUGUCCUCGAGCACCUGUUGACUUCGGUUACUAUCAAGCGCUCUGACCCGUUGCUGCCAUGGCCUUGCAUCCAUCUGGCCCUGUUGUGUUCAUGGAGCCACUGUACAAUGCCCAAGACCGAGACCCAUGAACGUCAAGUUCUUCCACGACGCCCGAACGAUUACAGGCCGAAACGCCAAGUCCCACUUCAACAAGUGUACCUCUACUUCGGAUUCACCAAGUACCCCUUCGGAUGCGCCUAGUUCGACUACAUGGACCACCAAGUUCCUCUACCGUCGACCCAAACAUCUACGAACCGUGUACGUCUACCGUCGCCGUGGAUCCGACAAGAUCCGUGUACAACUACUACCCCCACGACACAUGAACAACUACUUCCACUUCGAACGCGUUCCGCCCCGAAUGGAUGCUUCGAAGGUAUAACCCCGAGACAAUGACCCGUGGACGAGCGCUUGUGAUGUGUUGUAUGAGAUGCCCGUGUUUGCACCAUGUCCGAAUUGGUCCUUGCAGUUCCUCGUUUCCUUGCCACCGUCAUGUGGGAACCCGGUAACCGGGAUCACCCCACCAUCGUUCGCAUGUUCCGUUCAUCCACAGUUUCUUUUGCACCGACAUCUCGACGAGUUGUCGGAUCACCGUUAUGUUGCCGUGGCAUCAUUUUCGGAUUCGUUGCCGUGGCACCCCUUUCUUCCACCACGGUAACAAAUGCCUCGUAUCAUUUUAUACCAACACUUUCAUAAAAUUGCAUAUACCUUGCAUAUGUCAUCCGCAUCAUGAUAACAACAUUUAAAUGUUUAAAAUUGUGUUUGUUUUAAAUUGCUAAAUGACAUAUGGGGAUUUUCCGGAAUUGUUAUUUGUUAUUUCCGGCCUCAUUUAAACUUGCCUAGAUAGGUUGUUUAAUUAUGCUUCACCUCUUGCCAUGCUUAAUAACAUUUAAUAUUGUUGGGUACAUAACCGAGAGAGACUAAAUAAUUGAUGUGGUGUUUCAUCAAUAUGCAACUCGUUGCAUAUUGAGCUCCACUUAAUUUGUAGUGUUGUUUGUGGCACUUUGCCAUGCCAUGCCUCAUUAAACCGGACAUGCAUCAUACUUGAUUGUGCAUCAUGCCAUGUUUAUGUGAUGGUUGUUUACCAUGAUGUUUGCUUCUUUCUGGUUGCGCUUCUCCUUGGUAGUUCCGGUAACGUUGCGAUUGUGAGGAUCCAUUCGACUACGUUGGUUCGUCUACUUCAUGGACUCGUUCUUCUUCCUUGCGGGAACUCAGGCAAGAUGACCAUACCCUCGAAAUCACUUCUAUCUUUGCUUGCUAGUUGUUCGCUCUAUUGCUAUGCCGCGCUACCUACCACUUGCUAUAUCAUGCCUCCCAUAUUGCCAUGUCAAGCCUCUAACCCACCUUUUCUAGCAAACCGUUGUUUGGCUAUGUUACCGCUUUUGCUCAGCCCCUCUUAUAGCGUUGCUAGUUGCAGGCGAAGAUGAAGUUUGUUCCAUGUUGGAACAUGGAUAUCUUUGGGAUAUCACAAUAUCUCUUAUUUAAUUAAUGCAUCUAUAUACUUGGUAAAGGGUGGAAGGCUCGGCCUUAUGCCUGGUGUUUUGUUCCACUCUUGCCGCCCUAGUUUCCGUCAAACCGGUGUUAUGUUCCUUGAUUUUGCGUUCCUUACGCGGUUGGGUGAUUUAUGGGACCCCCUUGAUAGUUCGCUUUGAAUAAAACUCCUCCAGCAAGGCCCAACCUUGGUUUUACCAUUUGCUACCACCAAUCCCCUUUUCCCUUGGGUUCUGCAGACUCAAGGGUCAUCUUUAUUUUAGACCCCCCGGGCCAGUGCUCCUUCGAGUGUUGGUCCGAACCGAGCUGCCUGCGGGUCCACCUUGGGGAAACUUGAGGGCUGGUUUUACUCGUAGCUAGUCUCAUCCGGUGUUGCCCUGAGAACGAGAUAUGUGCAGCUCCUAUCGGGAUUUGUCGGCACAUCGGGUGGCUUUGCUGGUCUUGUUUUACCAAUAUCAAAAUGUCUUGUAAACCGGGAUUCCGAGACUGAUCGGGUCUUCUCGGGAGAAGGAAUAUCCUUCGUUGACCAUGCGAGCUUAUAAUGGGCUAAGUUGGGACACCCCUGCAGGGUAUUAUCUUUUGGAAGUCGUGCCCGCGGUUAUGUGGCAGAUGGGAAUUUGUUAAUGUCCGGUUGUAGAGAACUUGACACUCGACUUAAUUAAAAUACAUCAACCGCGUGUGUAGCCGUGAUGGUCUCUUCUCGGCGGAGUCCGGGAAGUGAACACGGUUUCUGGGUUAUGUUUGACGUAAGUAGGAGUUCAGGAUCACUUCUUGAUCAUUGCUAGUUUCACGACCGUUCCUUUGCUUCUCUUCUCGCUCUUAUUUGCGUAUGUUAGCCACCAUAUAUGCUAGUGCUUGUUGCAGCUCCACCUCACCACCCCUCUUCCUUCCUAUAAGCUUAAAUAGUCUUGAUCUCGCGGGUGUGAGAUUGCCGAGUCCUCAUGACUCACAGAUACUUCCAAAACAGUUGCAGGUGCCGAUGAGACCAGUGCAGAUGACGCAACUGAGCUCAAGUGGGAGCUCGAUGAAGAUCUUGUUCAUUACUAUGUUUCUUUUCAUGUUGAUCAGUAGUGGUGCCCAGUUGGGACGAUCAGGGAUCUAGCAGUUGGGUUGUCUUCUUUUCUUUUGGUUCCAUAGUCGGACCUAUGUGUGUAUCUUGAAUGAUGUAUGAAUUUAUUAUGUAUUGUGUGAAGUGGCGAUUGUAAGCCAACUCUUUAUCCCAUUCUUGUUCAUUACAUGGGAUUGUGUGAAGAUGACCCUUCUUGCGACAAAACCACAAUGCGGUUAUGCCUCUAAGUCGUGCCUCGACAUGUGGGAGAUUAAGCCACAUCGUGGGCGUUACAGAACUCCAUCGUCCUUAUGAAAAAAUAAAGGGUGGGUAUUCAGGGAGAACGGCCUUUGCAAGGUUGACUAUCUGGUUGACAACAUCUAGGAAGGUAGAGAAAAGUAACUCUCGAAUUGAAACUUAAGAAAAUAUCGAGAGCAAAGUAAGGAGGUGUCAUGGAAAGUUUCGAGCGGGUAGGCAAUCGCUCGAUGCCUAAUCUGAAGGAGAAAGGGUUUUCACGGCGACAAGAAUAAGUAUUGCGUCUAAUACCAGAAUAGAUCACUAGGAAGGUGGCUCGCGAAUUACCUAUGAAGUCAGGCGCGAGGAAUAUCUUUGGCAACCGGGGUGUACAUGAGAGUCAGGUUUUGAUCCUGGGACAUGUGGGUUAUGGGCCCACCAUGUGGGUUAAAAGUAGGAAGGGUGGUGACGUCCUGCACGAUCAUGUAAGCAAGGCAUGUCAGAGGAUAGCAUGUCAGUUAAGUUGGCAACAACAUCGGUACCAAGGGCGAGGGACGAAGAGAACCAUUUUUCUGCUCGUUGAACGAGGUGGGCCAUUAGGCAAAGUUCUCAUCCAUCGGUGGCUACCGGAAUGUCAUCAACAAUAGUAACAGGGUCUUACUGACACGGUUGUACACUAAGGUGUUUACAUAAGUAGAAAAAUAUUACUGCUUAGAUCAUAUAGAUCACAAGAAAGGUUAAACAAAACAAUGGAAAGGAAAAUGUGUUUAAACACAUAUGUCAGGGGUAUAUCCUUCCCAAAGUCAAGUAGAGCAUGAUAUCCAAGAGAGGAUAUACAGUAGAUAACCCUUUAGGUAAGGGGAGAGAAAUUUCAUGACAUUACCCAUACAACGAUGUUUGGGUAAUUUGAACAAGAAACAAUUAGCAUGGUGCUUCAAAUGUUCUUAAUGAAAAUCGGAGUACCAUAGACGUGCUUCGAGAAAGCAUAGACAUGGUCUUCAAGUAAAGAUCGGACCUUGGAUACACAAAGGAUCCAUAGGGAUCAACUUAUAGAAUAAGUCUUACAAUUCCCUCAUGGAAGAAUGAGUAACCUUGCUAAAAAGGGAACUACUACAAUAGGUCCUCCAGGCAGGUGUGCUUGGCAUGACAUCACCUUACCGGGUCAUAUAAAGACCAAUGUUAAAACUCUUGGAAAUAUGCUCCAACCAUCAUAUCUGACCGAGAUUCCGAUCUGAUAGGUGUUAGGAUACCUCAGACUCAGGAUGUCUGAGAAGGAAAAUGUGCAACACAAAUUGACGGGAUGACAUUGUAAGAUUCUCGGGAAAUGAACUAUGGAAGCAAGUUCCAAAACAAGAGCCCAUCAUUAACUAUGGAGAAGAUGAGGAGUUAGCUGAUGGACUCAGCUACAAUUCAUCAAGAUUUACAAAAUAUGGAUUUCCACAAUUAUGUGAACAAGGAGAUAACAUUUGUCAUAUCAAAUGAUAUAAUGAUGUAUGCUAGAGGAAAAACAUACACAAUUAAACAUUGGCUGAAAGGUGCACCCGAAAUAUGGGCUUAGGUAGUACGAUCAAUGUUAGAAUGGUGAUUCGAUAACGAAUGGCCUAAGAAUGUAAUGUCGACCAUUAACUUCAAAGCAAUAGGGUUGCUAGAACUUUUGAACUCGCACAUCAUAGUUCAAUUGUCGGUUUUCCGGUUAGAAACAACACGGGGACCAAGAAAUGAACGGGGAUGGCGAGAAGUAAUACUAUAAGAAGAAUUCUUAAGAGGUGGAGCAUUCCUCGCAACAUCCUUGACAUAAAAGAUGGUAAUACUUCAAGGUAGAGCAUAUUACAAGCUGGAUAGCAAGGAACUCAAGGUACAACACAAAUUGUGAACCAGUUUUGUGUGGCGGAAAUGCAAGAAUGUUGUCGAUGUUAACACAACCAUCGAGGGGGCAAGGAUGAUAUCUCUCAUCAUGAAUUCGAUUGAUAUCCUAGAAACGCUCAGAAUGUUGAUGAUGAUCACGACACAUUUGUCGAGAGGUUUCAUGAAGAUGUAAUCGGUCGGCGAUGACAUCAAGUCAAAGGAAUGAUGAAGCAAAAGGUUAAUGGAACCAUGGGUAUGACACAAACUCAAAAUCAAGCUCGUUGUUCAAGGCAAAAUGAUAUGAUGAGAAAGAUCAACGUAAGCUUAGCUCAUCGUCGAAAGUUGUGCUUAGGGAUUAAGGACCAGGUAGCACAGUUAAAAUCGGCACGAUAAUGACAUAGCUGUGCAUGCUAGGAAUGACGUGAUCGAGUUCAAACUCGUAAGUAAUGAAGGUUACCAAGAGUUGUUUAAUCGCGGUGCAGACUCGAUUCAAUUAUCGAUGUCUUUGAGUGUUUAAUAACUCAGAGCUCGUGAAAAAAAUGGAAUCAGUGAGAAUGCGGUACUUGAGGAAGAACUCAUAAGAAGUUAUGCAGUUCCGUGAUAAUCUCGAGAUACCAUGGGGGUAAUACUCGACGACAGAUCAAAGUAGAGUUUGGACUGGGAUAUUGCUCUAUGGAAGACAAGUGCUUAAACUUGCAUGAGAAAUGGUAUUUAAAGGAGAACAUGGUCGGAACCACGAUUGCAAAGGAUCAAUACACCGAUACCAGAAGAUAUUAUGUCAAGGAAAUAAUUAUUGUUAGAAGAAACUUCCAUGAUAGAAUCUACAUCGUGUCCAUGGGCUUGAACACAAAGUUCAAGGUCGACUCCCACUUCUUCAAUGCAUAACCUUUCAUUCACUGCUCUACUAAAAAUGAUUUGAGUGCGAAGAUCUACCUGGUGAAUUUCCAAAGGAGUAUGACCCGUGAAAACUUUCGGGUUCACACAGAUUAAGGAAGGCAUAGGUUCAAGCCAUCGGGGCUUCUUAGAACAUAUACCAUGAACUUCAGGAGUAAAUAACACAAGCUCAAAAGUAGAGCAUGGUUGACAAAGCAAAGGAUACAAUUUACCAAAGGCAUUAUAUACCCGUGGAAAGGCUCACAAGUUUAUUGAAUAUGAAGGACGAUGUCGGAUGAAAUCCAACAAUGGAUCAGGUGAUCCACAACGGAGCUGAUGUGAGUAUCGGUACUCAAUCAGAGGAAGAAAGAAUGCAAGGGCAUCAGAUUAUAGAACAUCUGAAUAAUUCGAUGCUUAGAUAACAAAGGAAUUAUGAUUUCCAAAACGAAGGAUCAGAAGUAGAUGCUCUGAUCAAGGAUGGAUAAACUGAAUAGACCAGAGGCACAAUCGACGACAAAUAGUUUGGUCGAGAACCAACUCAUGUUCAAAAUGACGUCUGAGCCGGAAAGAUAAUUUUGAAGGGUCGAUUGAUGAUUGUGUGCAUUCGCACACAUGUUGAAUCAAUAGGAUCAAAAUGACGGUGUCAAAAGAUACUAGUGAAUAUUGCUAGUGAUAUGGGAGCAUCCAUAAUGUAAGCAUACAAGUAUUUUCAGAGCAAUAGUUCGAAGAGGAUGCUCAGAAGGUCAGAUAGUAUUUCAGAGUAUCUUAUGAAGCAUACGAACAUCUGGGGAUGAACGGAUACUCGAUAAGUGCGAGGAAUUUUCAAUAGGGGUAUUCAUGUGGUAAAGAAUUGCAAGGCAGUAAGAUCAAAGGAUUUUCGGAACAAUGAAGAGCAGUUCAGGGCAUCUUGUAAUAACAAGAGCAACUGGGGAUGAAUGUAUGAACGACAAUUGUAGGUAGUUAUCCAUAAGGGUAUAUCGGUGGUAGGGAAUUGUAAAGUCGGUGGGCACAGGGGUCUCGGGAAAACCUCGGAGAGUAUCUUCUGACUCUUCUGGUGAAGCAAGCGGCCGUCCAGAACAAGGGGCUCUCCGGGAGAAAGUAUUUACGAGAACCUAGAGUUAGAGUUAGCAAAAUCAUUUAACUCGAAUAGAAGAGAGAUCAGAGUCCCAGAGUAUAGACGAGAAGUAAAAGAUCCUAAUACCACCCAAUGGCGACGUGGGCCCGUAAGCCACACAACCAUGUUAGUAAUGUUUUUUUAAUGACUAGACUCAACUUUGGCCAAGGAGUUUGGAAGGGGGAUUCCUACAGGCAGUCGGCUCUGAUACCAACUUGUGACGCCCCCGAUUCAAUCGUACACUAAUCAUACACGCAAACGUGUACAAUCAAGAUCAGGGACUCACGGGAAGAUAUCACAACACAACUCUAAAAUAAAAUAAGUCAUACAAGCAUCAUAAUACAAGCCAGGGGCCUCGAGGGCUCGAAUAUAAGUGCUCGAUCAUAGACGAGUCAGCGGAAGCAACAAUAUCUGAGUACAGACAUAAGUUAAACAAGUUGCCAUAAGAUGGCUAGCACAAACUGGGAUACAGAUCGAAAGAGGCGCAUGCCUCCUGGUUGGGAUCCUCCUAAACUACUCCUGGUCGUCAGCGGCCUGAACGUAGUAGUAGGCACCCUCGGUGUAGUAGGGGUCGUCGUUGAUGGUGGCUAUAGCUCCUGGGCUCCAACAUCUGGUUGCGACGUCCGAGAAGAAGAGGAAAAAGGGGGAAAAGAGGGACAAAGCAACCGUGAGUACUCAUCCAAAGUACUCGCAAGCAAGGAUCUACACUACAUAUGCAUGGGUAUUUGUGUGAAGGGGCAAUAUCGGUGGACUGAACUGCAGACUGCCAGAUUAAGAGGGGGAUAGCUAGUCCUGUCGAAGAUUACGCUUCUGGCAGCCUCUAUCUUGCAGCAUGUAGAAGAGAGUAGAUGGUAAGUUCAGCAAGUAUCAUCGCAUAGCAUAAUCCUACCCAGUGAUCCUCCCCUCGUCGCCCUGUGUGAGAGCGAUCACCGGGUUAUAUCUGGCACUUGGAAGGGUGUGUUUUAUUAAGUAUCCGGUUCUAGUUGUCAUAAGGUCAAGGUACAACUCCGGGUCGUCCAUUUACCGAGGGACACGGCUAUUCGAAUAGAUAAACUUCCCCCAGGGGUGCACCAGAUUACCCAACACGCUCGAUCCCCUUUGGCCGGACACACUUUCCUGGGUCAUGCCCAGCCUCGGAAGGUCAACACAUCGCAGCCCUACCUAGGCACAACAGAGAGGUCAGCACACCGGUCUAAAUCCUAUGGCGCAGGGGUCUGGGCCCAUCGCCCAUUGCACACCUGCACGUUGCGAGGGCGGCUGGUGAGUAGACCUAGCAACCUCCAUUACAAUGGGAGUUGCGUUAUGCGGUCCAACCCAGCGUGCGCCGCUCAGUCGCUGACGUCAAGAAGGCUUCGGCUGAUACCACGACGUCGAGUGCCCAUAACUAUUCCCGCGUAGUUGGUUAGUGCGUAUAGACUAGUGGCCAGACUCAGAUCAAAUACCAAGAUCUCAUUAAGCGUGUUAUUUUGAAGUAACCGCGAACAUCGACCAGGGCCAGGCCCACCUCUCACCUAGGUGGUCUCAACCUGCCCUGUCGCUCCGCCACAAAGAUCCACCCAGAGGGCCGUCAGGACAAAGGUCCUUUCAGCCCCCAAUCCGUGAAUCACUCGCGGGUACUCUACGAGCCGACCCGACUUUAGUCACCACAUGUAUCAUAUAUUAUGUAUAUAAGUAUAUACCCGUGAUUACCUCUCGAGUGAUCACGGCCCGAUAGUAUAGCAUGGCAGACAGACAAGAAUGUAGGGCCACUGAUGGAAUACUAGCAUCCUAUACUAAGCAAUUUAGGAUUGCAGGUAAGGGUAACAACUGUAGCUACAAUGACAGGCUAUGCAGCAGAAUAGGAUUAACCGAAAGCAGUAACAUGCUACACUACUGUAAUGCAAGCAGUAGAGAGAAGGAAUAGGCGAUAUCUGGUGAUCAAGGGGGGGCUUUCCUGGUUGCUCUAGGAAGGAGGGUUCGUCACCAACGUAGUCGAUCAGGGCACCAGCAGCAGCGUCAGUCUCGUAAUCUACCUGAGAGAAGAGGGGGAAGAAACAAUGAAUACAAUGCAAACAGAUGCAUAAUGAUGCAUGACAUGUCAAGUAACGGUGCUAGGAGUGCCCUAACACGGUAGGAGGUGAUACCGGCAAAGGGGGAAAACAUUCGGGAAAGUAUCCCCGGUGUUUCGCGUUUUCGGACAGAUGAACCGAAAGUUCCAUGUUCGCUAUGCAAGGAUGUGUGGCAGACAAACGGAGGGCAUAUUCGGAUUCUACCUUUUUUUUGAUCAUUUUUCAUAUAUAAAACCUUUUCAUCUGAGUUACGGAUUAAUUUCUAUGAUUUUUAAAAGUUUUAACCUUUUCUGGAAAUUCCUGGGAUUAAACUUAAUGUCACACCCAGUGUUUUGUUACAAGUCACUUGCAUUAAUAAAGCAUGAAAAUUUGGACCAACAAAAAAACUUUUGCAUCAUUUGGCUUUUAUUUUUGGAGUUGGUUUUCUCUAUGUGAUUUUCAAGUGCUCAUUAAAGUCAACACACCUCCACCUUCUAUACUUCAUCUCCUUGCCCCAAACUUCUUCCCAAUGAUCAUGCCAUGUGUAUAGUGCUAUAUGGUAUUUUCUUACAAAAAUAAUUUGGCCAAAUGGUAUUUUCUAAAUUUAGUUUUCAAAAAACCCCUGAAUUGAGGUUUGCACUACAAGCACUUGAUUUGGGGUAUGAAAAAUAUUUCAAAGAGUAUAUUUGAAACCUAUUGGGUAUAAGACUCCCAUAAACCACAAAAAUAUAAUUUUAAAAUAUAUUUUGCUAUUUUAGUUAAAGGCUUUUUCUUAAGGCCAGAAAUGGUUUUUAAUAGGUCAAUUUUAUUUAACUGUUUCAAAAAUAUUUGAGAACAUUCAGGAAAACUCACCGGACAUAUAUUGUCCAUAUUAAGAUUUUCAACACAUGGUCAUGUUCAAAAUAUUGGUCAAACCCCUCAAAAACCCUUUCUGGAUAUUUCAAGCUUUUGAAAUAUUUACAAAGAAAAUAUUCUCCAAAAAUUCCAAGAAAAUUCUAGCAAGUCACAUAUGUAUAAUAUGAUGACCUUGCAGAGUUUCAACUCAAUCCAAAUAGUUUUGGAUCACAUAAGUGCCCCAAAAUCCUCUCUGUCCAGAUUCAAGUUUGAACAACUUUACAUUGUCAACUUUCUUCUUUUUCUCUCAAACUUUGUGGGCACACUCAAAUACCCAAAUAAAGACACUACACCAAGUGGUGCAUCAAGGAUAAGAAAAUAGCUUAGUUAGAUCUAAGCAAAUCCAUUUCUGUUCAUUUCUAGGGUUUACAAAAGUUGCAUUGGCAACUUUACCCAAAUGAACUCAAAUUUGGUGGAACACCCUAUUUCUAUAUGCCAUUCCAUCAUGUUAAGUCUCAUGGCAAGUGUAAUUCAUUUUCUUGCCCAAACCAACAACUAACACCUUCUGCCACAUUUCCAAAAACACCAUUCUGACCCCUUCCACUAAUCUCCAUGGGCUCAAAGUUUUACCACAGCCCCUCCUAGACCCCCUCUAGCAACUGUAUGCUUUUAUACCCGAGAAAGCAAUGAUGAAGGGGGGAGAACCCCAUUUUUCUUCUCUGGACAGUGGAUUCCUCCCUCUCUCUCUCAGCCUCCUUCUCUCCCCUCAGCUUUCCAGAGCAUCCAAGGCUCUCCCCAGCUUUUGCCAACGCCCCCUUCAGCUUCCAGACGCAAGUGGACCCAAGGGGACGCGGGAAAACCGCGGAUGGCGGACGAAGUCGCGCUCUGGAGCGCUUGGCAGAGCACCCGACCAUUGACGCCGCGUCCCCCGACCACCUCGAGCCUCCCCCGGGCGCCAGUCAAUGCCCCUCGACGUCUGCUCCACGCCAGCAGGCGGCCCACUUAAUCGCGCGCCCUCCUCUCUCUCCUGUUGCUCGCGCCAGAGCACUGCCCCGCUCGGCCAAUGCUCGCGCUGCUCCUGUGGCCUGCUCCGGCGACCACCUCCACCACCACCCGGACGGCGACAUCCCCCUGAGUCCAACAGUGCCACCCGCUCGACCUGUCAUGCCCUGUAGCGUCGCCGGCCCCUCUGUUGCAGGGUUGAAGAUGACAGGCAGGCCCCGCCUGUCAUCCUCACUUCUCCCUAGCCCCUCUCUCUCUCGCUGACGCUCGGGCCCCGCCCGUCAGGUUUGAAUACCUGGCGUGGGCGCGCUGGCUCACUUGGGCCUCCUCCCCCUCUGGGACUGCUGCGCUGCGGCUGAUCUGGCCCAGAAGCACAGUGCCCUUUCUCUUUUUCUUUUCUGUCCCUUUUCCAAAAAUUCCACAGGAUUAGAUAUUAAUCCAGAUGCAAUAAUUCCAGUUCCUAAAUUCUUGUAAAAAUCUCACAUAUUUAAUGGUGUAACCUUCAUACGUGCCCAACCAACUUUUCUGUACUGUUCAAAUUUAAAUUCAAAUUUGAGAAAUUAAAUCCUUGUUUGAAAACCCAUUGCUCUGUCCCUGUAGCUCCAAAACCAAUACUAAGGAUUUCCCCAUUCUUAGUUUUCCUCCUAGUAUUUAACAAAAAUAGGUUGACAUUUUUGUGAGCACCUUGACUUUUCUAUUCUUAUUAUUGCCUUAUUUUCACGUUGUUUUUGUUGCGACGAAUAGAUCCCGCGUUUGAUGAAGUAGUUGGAGAAGAAGAGGGAGAAGGACUUGAAGUCUUUGAAGACCAAGCCAACCAAGGCAAGCAGCGCUUUGACCAUGAUUCACCCCUCUUGUUCAUCGAUAAAUUUUCCGUAUGCAUGAUGACGUUGUUGAAUAUGGACUUGAUAUAAUUGUUGCAUUGAUGCAUGCCCAUUUGUACUUGCAUGUUCGUAGCUCUACCUUGUGCUAGAGAUGCGAUGGAAAAUACUUGAUAUUGACGCAUGAUGUUGCAUCUAUGCCAUGACCAUCUCUUGAUUACAAACCUUUGAAAACCCCAACGGGUGCCCCUAAUGCCCGUGGGUGAUGUUGAACUAAGGUCACCACUUGAGGACGAAGUGGUGUACCAGAGAAAGAUUUUGUGUGAAUAGUAAAAUGAUGGAUUAGAUUUAGGUGUGAAUACCGUCCCAACCAAACAUGUGCAACCAAUCUACCCCUUAUGGGAUGGGGCAUUAUUCAUUACUUAGGCCGAUACUAGCAUGGUGCCCACAUUACUAGUGACGGGGGUGACAUGAGGUCACUCUCGGGACGGGGUCGUGCUCGGAUAGGCGGCCAUGACUGUUUUCACAGGGCACUGGACACAGCGUUGGUCCCUUCGUGUAUGCGUGUUAAUGUGAAAGGUUAGAGUCCCACGAUCUUUUAUUUAUACAUGAGGGCCGUGUACCAACGAGUGGACCCUAUGUUAGUGUCGUCUAGGGAAAUAUAAUGAUCGGGUGCUUCUCCCGAGUACUUGAGGUACUGCGGGAUCGUGGAUGACACAAAAGCUUCCCAGAUCUUGUGGGUAAAGUGCGCAACCUCUGCAGAGUGUCAAACUAUUCGAAUAGCCGUGUCCACGGUCAUAGACAGUUGGGUCGUGCUACUUAAACUAUGUCCAGAAAUUUUACGAACUUGGUACAUGUGUGUGAGAUUGAGAACCAUUUGAGUCAAUGCAGUUGACUUGACGUGUGGAAUGGGCUAGCAUUCAUCCAAACUCUAUUAUGUUGAUAUCUGUAACCUGUUCUCAAGGUUGCUAGAGUCCAUUGAUGCAUAAGUUUACUAGAUGAUAAGUCAUCACAACUAGCUUGAUACUAGGUUGCCUACUUGUUGAUAUACCUUGCAUUGUUACUUUGAUCCAAAACAUGGGUUGCUUGUAAGUACAUUCAAAGUACUCAUUGGCUUGCCACUGGUUAUUUAAUUGUCCAGGCAUGGAAGAGCGGGAGUUCGAAGAAGAAUUCUUCGGAGACGAACAUGCGAACUAGGACGUUUCCCAGUCAGAGUGCAUGUAGUGUUAAGGCAGAUGGCAUAGCUUCUACCUAAUAACGAAGAUUUCCGCUGCUUAAGUUUAUUUGGUAUUCAGCCCUUGUGGCCUUAUCUAUGUAAGACUUGACCAUAACGGUCAUAAUUUGUGUAAGACGAUAUGUAGGGAUGUAAGACUUUUUUUAUUCAGCUUCUGUGUGUUCAGUGAGCAUUGAUCUCUGGGAUCACUGUACACGUGCAUUCGGCGAUCACGACUGUAGGAAGCCUUAGUUCGCAUGGACGUUAGUUAGAGUGAGACUAUCUACAAAAUUACCUAUAUACCUACUUUUUCUAAAAAUAUCCCAAACAUGGGUCAUAUUUCCUCUAUUGACCCUUCCCCUUCCACUUUUGUAGAUGGCUGUCGUACCCGAGGACUUCCUGACCACUGGAUUUCUCGUGCUUCUUGAGGACAGCCUCAAGAGGUGCUAGUUCACUCGAGCCCCCACCUUCUCCUAUCAUGAGCACUAGAUCAACAACACCAAGAAGGAGUAUCACGUGGAGGUAGUCGUGAGGGCGAACGACUCUCCGACGAGCUGGUUCUUUGAAGGACCCCAGAUGGCAACCCUGCUCCUCGCCGUUGAGACUACUACACUCAAGGCGCUGACUCGCCUUCAGAAUCUUCUGCCAGAGAUGGCAAGUGAGCCAGCCACUCGUUACCUGCCUUAUCGUAAGGAGGGUGAUGACGAGAGCAGCGCACCAGCUCCACCCAUGGACGAAGGACUUCCCCUCCGUUUCCAGACCUACUUCAGCUUGUGUGCUUACAGCCUGGCACAUCACUUGGCCUCGGAGUCGAUGGAGCUUCGGAAGCAACUCCACGAGACCAAGGGACUCCUCCGCCUAGCUCAGACAAAGGCGGACAGGAUCAAGAAGGAUGGUGCACCCCCUGGACAGCCCGUUGUUGCCUAUCGAGGCGGGCGACCCCCACAGGUUACGCAUGCCAAGGGAUCAUCUCAGCCACGCCGUAUGAUGGCGAAGGACUAUCGCAACCUCUUCACGGUGCCACCGGCGAAGCAGCGCCGUGUUUAGCUCCUACACUCCCCCACUCCCUCAAGUGACGAAGAAACUGAGACGAAUGAAGAUGAGGAGGAAGACCCAGAGGAGCUGAAAUAUGCGAUCGAGCAUUCCACCACUUAGACACCGUUCAGGACUAGGAUAGGCCAGUCCGUAACCCUUAAGGUAGGAUAGGUCGUGUACCCCUUAUGCGAAGUCGAGUCCAUGUAAUGGUUCGAAUGAAACCAUGUUGCGAUGUGUUUGCUUUCGAAUUUUUUUGAUGGAAGUCGCACUUUCCCUUUGGGAACUUGUAAAUGACUACAUCACCCAUUUGGUUUUAAUGCAUGAGUUUGGCCCUUCUGGCCCUUGCUUAAUUUGAAAUUGUGCACACCCACCCCCUUACUAGGCGCCCAUCUACACUGUUUUCCCUCAUUUUAUCCCAAUCAUGAGACCUUGACCGCUCCAACAGGAUGCCUGUUGUAACUCGUACUGGUACCUCUACCCAGCAACAAGAAGCUGGAGGUUCUGUCGAAGCAGGAGCCAACCAGGACCAAGCCCGAGGACAGACUCCACCGCCACCACCUCCCCCGAACAUGGACAUGGCUCAGCUUCUCCAAGCCUUCCGACAGGAACGCCAAGCCAACACUGCAGCCCUCCAGAUGAUUGCUCAAGCUGUCACCAACAACCGCCAGCAGGCGGGGAACGGCAAUGGACAUUCCAUGUUGGCAGAGUUCAAGAACCAUGCACCACCCACCUUCAUCGAGACUGCCGAACCCCUGGAUGCAGACGACUGGGUCCGCACCAUUGAGGAUCUGUUGGAACUAGUCGGCCGCACUGAAGACCGUGAGAGGGUGGCAUAUGCCGCCCACUGUCUUGGGGGAACUUCCAGAGCUUGGUGGGAUGGAUUCAAGGUCAUGCAUGCUGGGCAAAAUAUCACUUGGAAUGACUUCAAGACGGAAUUCCGCAAGGCCCAUAUUCUUUCCGGAAUUAUGGCCAUCAAGAAACGUGAGUUCCGGGCCCUGAAGCAGGUAGGUAGCACUGUCAAGGAGUACAUGCAGAAGUUCAGUGUUCUGUCAAGGUAUGCCCCUGAAGAUGUCAGCACUGAUGCUGCCAAAAGAGAGCGCUUCAUGGAAGGCCUUAACCAGACUCUGUAGUACUCCCUUUUUGUGUGUGCCUGCCCAACCUUUCCUGAUCUGGUGAACAAGGCACUCAUGCUUGAAGACAAGCGACGUGCUUUGGAUGACACCCGUAAGCGCAAGAUGAUCAGCAAGGGUAGCUCCAGCAACCAGAAGCCUCGCCCGUGGCAGCCAGCCCCGGUUAAGCCAACCUAUCAGCAGCCAAGAGCCCCUGCACCUCGCACGAACUAUCAGCCUCAGCAGUACGCCAACCCCAGGCCAGACUACAACAACCCCAAUAACAGUGGUGGCAACAAGACCAACAACUCAAACCAAGUCACUUGCUUUGGAUCUGGUCAGUCCUGACACAUCUCAAGGGUGUGCCCCAACAGGAAGCCCGAUGCUCCGUGCCCCAAUGUGCAGAACCCAGGACAAGGCCGCGGGCUGCCACCAAGGAACCAAGCUUCCUGCAACCCGCCCAACAAUGGCAAGGGACGUGUGAAUCACGUCACUGCAGAAGAAGCUCAGGAAGACCCAGACGUCGUGCUGGGUACGUUCCUUGUCAAUUCAGCACCUGCAACUAUCUUGUUUGAUUCCGGAGCCACACAUUCAUUUGUCACCCAAAAGUUUGCAUUUAAAAGUGGCAUGACCCCUACACCCCUGAAUAACCCCAUGGUGGUACAAACCCCCGGAGCAGAGAUGAGAACCAAGAUAGGUUGUAAAGGAGUCGGAAUCAUCAUUAACGGGGUAGAUUUCCUAGUAGACCUUAUCAUCUUAAGAUCACAAGGCUUGGAUGUGAUCUUAGGAAUGGAUUGGCUCAUCAAGCACCAAGGUUUGUUAGAUUGUGCCAACCGGACUGUCAUAGUGACCAAUCACCAAGGAGUUGAAGUUAAGUUUGCUUCCAACCCCUCCUCUGCUCGAGACACCCAAGUCAAUUGUCUGUCUGAUGUUGGAUUGGAGCAAGUGCCAGUAGUAUGCAAGUACCCCGAUGUCUUUCCCGAUGAGCUACCGGGAAUGCCUCCUGACCGUGAAAUUGAGUUCAUUAUCGAGCUCAUGCUCGGAGUAGGACCCAUCUAUAAGAAGCCUUAUAGAAUGGGAACGGAGGAGUUAGCAGAAUUAAAGAAGCAACUAGCCGAGAAAUUGAGGAAAGGAUUCAUCCGUCCUAGUGCCUCACCUUGGGGAUCACCUGUUCUGUUUGUGGCAAAGAAGGACGGUACGAUCUGCUUGUGCGUUGACUAUCGCUCCCUCAAUGAAGUUACAAUCAAGAACAAGUAUCCACUUCCCAAGAUUCAAGAUCUGUUUGAUCAACUCAAUGGGGCCAAGAUGUUCUCCAAGAUCGACCUCAGAUCUGGGUACUACCAGCUGAAAAUCAGACCCCAAGAUAUUCCGAAGACGGCAUUUGUAACCAGAUAUGGCCUGUAUGAGUGCACGGUCAUGUCCUUUGGAUUGACCAAUGCCCCAGCUUACUUCAUGUAUCUCAUGAAUAAGGUCUUCAUGGAAUAUUUGGACAAGUUUGUUGUCAUCUUCAUUGAUGACAUUCUUGUCUUCUCGAAGACGGAAGAAGAGCACGAGCAACACUUGAGAAUGGUCCUAGACAAGCUUCGAGAGCACCAACUAUACGCCAAGUUCAGCAAGUGUGAAUUUUGGCUGCAUGAAGUUGGAUUCUUGGGUCACAAAUUGACUGCCGAAGGAUUGUCAGUGGAUCCCACCAAAAUUAAAGCCGUGACUGAAUGGCAAACCCCGAGCAAUGUGAAGGAAGUCAGAAGCUUCCUCGGACUUGCGGGAUAUUACCGCAUGUUCGUUGAAGGAUUCUCAAGCAUUGCCCGACCCAUGACCCAGCUCUUGAAGAAGGACAAGAAGUUUGAGUGGACGCCGAAGUGCGAAGAGAGCUUCCAGGAGCUGAAGAAGAGAUUGACCACUGCCCAGUUCUGGCUACACCUGAUAUUCACAAGGAAUUUGUGAUAUAUUGUGAUGCAUCGCGAACUGGACUUGUAAGUGUUCUGAUGCAAGAAGGCAGAGUCGUGGCUUACCUUUCAAGGCAACUACGGCUUCAUGAAGAGAACUAUGCUACUCAUGAUCUUGAGUUAGCAGCAGUGGUUCAUGCCCUGAAGACAUGGCGACAUUACCUCCUAGGAAAGCGGUGUGAGAUAUACACGGAUCACAAAAGCCUGAAGUAUAUUUUCACUCAAAAGGAACUGAACAUGAGGCAGAGAAGAUGGCUAGAAUUGAUCAAGGAUUAUGACCUCAGUGUUCAAUACCACCCUGGAAAGGCUAAUGUGGUAGGAGAUGCCUUAAGCAGAAAGGCUUGUUCCUUGAACGUUAUGAUGAAGGAAAGGCUACCCGCCUUGUAUGAAGAACUUGAAAGCUUCGGGUUGGAACUGGUUGCACCAGGAUUCUUGGCCAACCUCGAAGUCAAGCCUACCUUGAUGGAUGAUGUUAUGGAAGCUCAGAGGGGACACGAGAGCAUCGAAGGCAUCAAGAGGAAGAUCAAGGCAGGAAAAGCCCCAGGUUUUUCUGAGGAUAAGCAAGGAGUUGUGUGGUUUGGGAAUCGCAUUUGCGUACCCAACAAGACUGAGCUCAAGAACUUGAUCUUGCAAGAAGCUCAUGACACCCUGUAUUCCCUCCAUCCUGGAGGAACCAAGAUGUAUAAAGAUCUGAAGGAAAUAUUCUGGUGGCACGGGAUGAAGAGAGAGAUUGCCACCUAUGUUGCUAAGUGUGAUGUUUGCCAAAGGGUCAAGGCUGAAUAUCAAUGACCUGCUGGAUUGCUCCAACCACUCAAGGUUACCGAGUGGAAAUGGGAUAAAGUCGGAAUGGAUUUCAUCACUGUACUCCCUAGGUCAAACAAGGGACAUGACUCCAUCUGGGUCAUAGUCGACCAUUUGACCAAGGUAGCCCAUUUCAUUCCUAUCAAAACUACCUAUGAUGGCAACCAGCUGGCAACUAUUUACAUCAACCUAAUCGUAAGCCUUCAUGGUGUCCCUAAGGAGAUUGUGUCAGAUCGAGGAACCCAGUUUACCUCAAGGUUCUGGAAGAAGUUCCAAGAGGCUAUGGGAACCAAGUUGUCCUUCAGCACUGCCUUCCACCCACAGACGGGAGGUCAGACGGAACGAGUAAAUCAGAUACUCAAAGAUAUGCUCUGAGCCUAUGUCUUAGCAUAUGGAGCUAACUGGGAAGAUUGCCUCCCUUUUGCCGAGUUCUCCUACAACAACAGUUAUCAGUCAAGCCUCCAGAUGGCACCAUUUGAGGUGUUGUACGGACGCAAGUGUCGCACACCCCUCAAUUGGUCGGAAACCGGAGAAGGGCUAGUCUUUGGACCAGAUGUUCUCCAUGGAGUGGAAGAGCAAGUUCAGCUAGUCAGAAAGCGACUGAAGAUCGCCAAGUCAAGACAGAAGAGCUAUGCCGACACUCGUCGCUGAAAAGUGAACUUCCAAGUCGGAGACCAUGUGUACCUGUGAGUAACUCCUAUUAAAGGAACCAAGCGUUUCCACAUCAAGGGAAAGCUCGCACCAAGAUUCAUUGGCCCCUUUAAGAUCACCGCACGACGAGGAAAAGUGGCUUACCAGUUGGAACUGCCACUUGAACUAACCGACGUGCACAACGUGUUCCACGUGUCACAACUCCGGAAGUGUCUCCAAGUUCCAGACAAGCCUGAUCUCUACAAGGACGUCGACCACCAAGCCAUCCACCUACAGCCUGAUUUGACCUACCGCAAGAGGCUCAUCUGCAUUUUGGAUUAAGCAGAACAAAGUACGCGAAGCCGCACCAUCAAGUACUUCAAGGUCCAGUGGAGCAACCAUACUGAAGCAGAAGCAACCUGGGAACGUGAAGACUACCUUAGAUCCGAGUUUCCCGAUCUCUUUUAAGGCCUAGUUUAGGAAUCUCGGGGACGAGAUUCUUGUAAGGGGGGUAGGUCUGUCACACCCAGUGUUUUGUAACAAGUCACUUGCAUUAAUAAUUUUGGACCAACAAAAAACUUUUGCAUCAUUUGGCUUUUAUUUUUGGAGUUGGUUUUCUCUCUGUGAUUUUCAAGUGCUCAUUAAAGUCAACACACCUCCACCUUCUAUACUUCAUCUCCUUGCCCCCAAACUUCUUCCCAAUAAUCAUGCCAUGUGUAUAGUGCUAUAUGGUAUUUUCUUACAAAAAUAAUUUGGCCAAAUGGUAUUUUCUAAAUUUAGUUUUCAAAAAACCCCUAAAUUGAGGUUUGCACUACAAGCACUUGAUUUGGGGUAUGAAAAAUAUUUCAAAGAGUAUAUUUGAAACCUAUUGGGUAUAAGACUCCCAUAAACCACAAAAAUAUAAUUUUAAAAGAUAUUUUGCUAUUUUAGUUAAAGGCUUUUUCUUAAGGCCAGAAAUGGUUUUUAAUAGGUUAAAAUUAUUUAACUAUUUCAACAAUAUUUGAGAAAAUUCAGGAAAACUCACAGGACAUAUAUUGUCCAUAUAUAAGAGUUUCAACACAUGGUCAUGUUCAAAAUAUUGGUCAAACCCCUCAAAAACCCUUUCUGGAUAUUUCACGCUUUUGAAAUGUUUACAAAGGAAAUAUUCUCCAAAAAUCCCAAGAAGAUUCUAGCAAGUCACAUAUGCAUAAUAUGAUUACCUUGCAGAGUUUCAACUCAAUCCAAAUAGUUUUGGAUCACAUAAGUGCCCCAAAAUCCUCUGUGUCCAGAUUCAACUUUGAACAACUUUAAAUUGUCAACUUUCUUCUUUUUCUGUCAAACUUUGUGGGCACACUCAAACACACAAAUAAAGACACUGCACCAAGUGGUGGAUCAAGGAGAAGAAAAUAGCUUAGUUAGAUCUAAGCAAAUCCAUUUAUGUUGAUUUCUAGGGUUUACAAAAGUUGCAUUGGCAACUUUACCCAAAUGAACUCAAAUUUGGUGGAACACCCUAUUUCUAUAUGCCAUUUCAUCCUGUUAAGUCUCAUGGCAAGUGUAAUUCAUUUUCUUGCCCAAACCAACAACAAACACCUUUUGCCACAUUUCCAAAAACACCAUUCUGACCCCUUCCACUAAUCUCCAUGUGCUCAAAAUUUUACCGCAGCCCCUCCUAAACCCCCUCUACCACCUGUAUGCUUUUCUGCCCGAUAAAGCAAUGAUGAAGGGGGGAGAACCCCAUUUUUCUUCUCUGGACAGUGGAUUCCUCCCUCUCUCUCAGCCUCCUUCUCCCCCCUCAGCUUUCCAGAGCAUCCAAGGCUCUCUCCAGCUUUUGGCCACGCCCCCUUCAGCUGCCAGACGCAAGUGGACGCGCGAGGACGCGGGAAAACCACGGAUGCCGGCCGAAGUCGCGCUCUGGAGCGCCUGGCAGAGCACCCGACCGUUGACGCCGUGUCCCCCCACCACCUCGAGCCUCCCUAAUAACCCACAAGUAUAGGGGAUCGCAACAGUUUUCGAGGGUAGAGUAUUCAACCCAAAUUUAUUGAUUCGACACAAGGGGAGCCAAAGAAUAUUCUCAAGUAUUAGCAGUUGAGUUGUCAAUUCAACCACACCUGGAUAACUUAGUAUCUGCAGCAAAGUAUUUAGUAGCAAAGUAAUAUGGAAGUAACGGUACGGUAGCAAAAGUAAUGUUUUUGGGUUUUGUAGUGAUUGUAACAGUGGCAACGGUAAACUAAAUAAGCGAAGAACAAUAUGUGAAAAGCUCAUAGGCAUUGGAUCGGUGAUGGAGAAUUAUGCCGGAUGCGGUUCAUCAUGUAACAGUCAUAACAUAUGGUGACACAGAACUAGCUCCAAUUCAUCAAUGUAAUGUAGGCAUGUAUUCCGAAUAUAGUCAUACAUGCUUAUGGAAAAGAACUUCCAUGACAUGUUUUGUCCUACCCUCCCGUGGCAGCGGGGUCCUAAUGGAAACUAAGGGAUAUUAAGGCCUCCUUUUAAUAGAGUACCGGACCGAAGCAUUAACACACAGUGAAUACAUGAACUCCUCAAACUAUGGUCAUCACUGGGAGUGGUCCCGAUUAUUGUCACUUCGGGGUUGCCGGAUCAUAACACAUAGUAGGUGACUAAUGACUUGCAAGAUAGGAUCAAGAACUCACAUAUAUUCAUGAAAACAUAAUAGGUUCAGAUCUGAAAUCAUGGCACUCGGGCCCUUGUGACAAGCAUUAAGCAUAGCAAAGUCAUAGCAACAUCAAUCUCAAAACAUACUGGAUACUAGGGAUCAAACACUAACAAAACUAACUCGAUUACAUGAUAAAUCUCAUCCAACCCAUCACCGUCCAGCAAGCCUAUGAUGGAAUUACUCACGCACAGCGGUGAGCAUCAUGAAAUUGGUGAUGGAGGAUGGUUGAUGAUGACGAUGGCGACGGAUUCCCCUCUCCGGAGCCCCGAACGGACUCCAGAUCAGUCCUCCCGAGGGAGUUUAGGGCUUGGCGGCGGCUCCGUAUCGUAAAAUGCGAUGAAUCUUUCUCUCUGAUUUGUUUCUCCCCGAACACGAAUAUAUGGAGUUGGAGUUGAGGUCGGUGGAGCUCCAGGGGGCCAUGAGGCAGGGGGCGCGCCCCCCACCCUCAUGGAAAGGGUGUGGCCCCCUGGCCUUGAUUCUUUCGCCAGUAUUUUUUAUUAUUUCCAAAAAUAAUCUCCGUGAAGUUUUAGGUCAUUCCGAGAACUUUUGUUUCUCCACAUAAAUAACACCAUGGCAAUUCUGCUGAAAACAACGUCAGUCCGGGUUAGUUCAAUUCAAAUCAUGCAUGUUAGAGUCCAAAACAAGGGCAAAAGUGUUUGGAAAAGUAGAUACGACGGAGACGUAUCACUCCCCCGCGCGCCAGUCGAUGCCCCUCGAUGUCCGCUCCAUGCCAGCAGGACGCCCACUUGCUCCCGCGCCCUCCUCUCUCUCCUACAGCUCGCGCCAGAGCGCCGCCCCGCUCGGCCAAUGCUGGCGCCGCUCCUGUGGCCCGCCCUCAGCUCGUCCUGCUCCACCUCUCUCUCCCUGGCACCCUAGACCACUCCCACGAACACCCCCGAGCCCUCCAUUCCCUCUCUAACGGCCACCCGAGCCGAUCCCGCGGACGCCCGUAGGCCGCGCCUAUGGUGGACCUCGGCCAGCCUAUAUAAGGCGACCCCGAGCCUCUCUCUCACUCCGUGUUGCUCCCCCACACUCUUAGUCAACCUCCCGCACCACCCAUUUGUCUCCAGAGCCGCCUGAGCUCGAGAUCGAGCUCUAGCUCCGCCGCCUCGGCUCGUCGACGUUCGCGUGUUAUAGGCCUUCUCUGCCCCCGUUCUCUCUCGAUCUAGAACCACGCGACACCACUGACCCUUUACCCUCUCUUUCCCGCUCUUUUUGCAGCCGGGAACGGACAGAACCACCGACGCCCGAAGCACCUCCGCCGUGUGACCUCGUCGCCGGCAAACCAGGCUUCUCCGGCGACCACCUCCAACACCACCCGAACGGCGACAUCCCCCUGAGUCCAACGGUGCCACCCGCUCGACCUGCCGUGCCCUGUAGGGUCGCCGGUGAGCUCGCAGGCCCCUUUGUCGCAGGGUUGAAGAUGACAGGUGGGCCCCACCUAUCAUCCUCACCUCUCCCUCGCCCCUCUCUCUCUCGCUGACGCCCGGGCCCCGCCCGUCAGGUUUGAAAACCUGGCGCGCGUGCGCUGGCUCGCCUGGGCCUCCUCCCCCUCUGGGCCUGCUGCGCUGCGGCUGAUCUGGCCUAGAAGCAUAGUGCCCUUUCUCUUUUUAUUUUCUGUCCCUUUUCCAAAAAUUCCACAGGAUUGGAUAUUAAUCUAGAUGCAAUAAUUCCAGUUCCUAAAUUCUUGUAAAAAUCUCACCUAUUUAAUGGUGUAACCUUCAUAUAUGCCCAACCAACUUUUCUGUACUAUUGAAAUUAAAAUUAAAAUUUGAGCAAUUAAAUCCUUGUUUGAAAACCCAUUGCUCUGUCCCUGUAGCUCCAAAUCCAAAACUAAGGAUUUUCCCCUUCUUAGUUUUCCUCCUAGUAUUUAACAAAAAUAGGAUGACAUUUUUCUGAGCACCUUGACUUUUCUAUUUUUAUUAUUGCCUUAUUUUCCCAUUGUUUUUGUUGCGAUGAAUAGAUCCCGCGUUUGAUGAAGUAGUUGGAGAACAAGAGGGAGAAGGACUUGAAGACUUUGAAGACCAAGCCAACCAAGGCAAGCAGCCCUUUGACCAUGAUUCACCCCUCUUGUUCAUCGAUAUUUUUUUCGUAUGCAUGAUGACGUUGUUGAAUAUGGACUUGAUAUAACGGUUGCAUUGAUGCAUGCCCAUUGGUACUUGGUAGCUCUACCUUGUGCUAGAGAUGCGAUGGAAAAUACUUGAUAUUGAUGCAUGAUGUUGCAUCUAUGCCAUGACCAUCUCUUGGUUACAAUCCUUUGAAAACCCCAACGGGUGCCCCUAAUGCCCGUGGGUGAUGUUGAAUUAAGGUCACCACUUGAGGACGAAGUGGUGUACCAGAGAAAGAUUUUGUGUGAAGAGUAAAAUGAUGGAUUAGAUUUAGGUGUGAAUACCGUCCCAACCAAACAUGUGCAACCACUCUACCCCUUAUGGGACGGGGCAUUAUUCAUUACUUAGGCCGAUACUAGCAUGGUGCCCACAUUACUAGUGACGGGGGUGACAUGAGGUCACUCUCGGGACGGGGUCGUGCUCGGAUAGGCGGCCAUGACUGUUUUCACAGGGCACCGGACACACCGUUGGUCCCUUCGUGUAUGCGUGUUAAUGUGAAAGGGCAGAGUCCCACGAUCUUUUGUUUAUACACGAGGGUCGUGUACCAACAAGUGGACCCUAUGUUAGUGUCGUCUAGGGAAAGAUAAUGAUCAGGUGCUUCUCCCGAGUACUUGAGGCACUACGGGAUCGUGGAUGACAUGAAAGCUUCCCAGUUCUUGUGGGUAAAUAGCGCAACCUCUGCAGAGUGUCAAACUAUUCAAAUAGCUAUGUCCACUGUCAUGGACAGUUGGGUGGUGCUACUUAAACUAUGUCCAGAAAUUUUACGAACUUGGUACAUGUGUGUGAGAUUGAGAACCAUUUGAGUUAAUGCAGUUGACUUGACGUGUGAAAUGGGCUAGCAUUCAUCCAAACUCUAUUAUGUUGAUAUCUGUAACCUGUUCUCAAGGUUGCUAGAGUCCAUUGAUGCAUAAUUUUACAAGAUGAUAAGUCAUCCCAACUAGCUUGAUGCUAGGUUGCCUACUUGUUGAUAUACUUUGCAUUGUUACUUUGAUCCAAAACAUGGGUUCCUUGCGAGUACAUUCAAAGUACUCAUUGGCUUGCCACUGGUUAUUUAAUUGGCCAGGCAUGGAAGAGCAGGAGUUCGAAGAAGAAUUCUUCGGAGACGAACAUGCGAACUAGGACGUUUCCCAGUCAGAGUGCCUGUAGGGUUAAGGCAGAUGGCAUGGGUUCUACCUAACAACGAAGAUUUCCGCUACUUAAGUUUAUUUGGUAUUCAGCCCUUGCGGCCUUAUCUAUGUAAGACUUGACCAUAAUGGUCAUAAUUUGUGUAAGGCAGUAUGUAUGGAUUCAAGACUCUUGUUAGUCAGCUUCUGUGUGUUCAGUGAGCAUUGAUCUCUGGGAUCACUGUACACGUGCAUUCGGUGAUCACGACUUACGAGUCGGGGUCCCCACACUUAAUUCGGAAAUAUACAUGAAAAAUGCUAGGUGCACCGGGUGCAGUGCACCCGGCAAUGCACCAGAGGCUGACCGUGGGGCCAGGUCACUGGCCCAGUCAGCAGUUGACUGGUCAGUUUGACUAGUCAAAGGGGUCCAGUGGGACCCACCUUUCAAUGACUAGGCUAGUCCAGUCAGCAGUUUGACUUGGUCAAACUGGACAGGGGGUCCAUCUGUCAUUGGCUGAUAUCUAACAGAGUUUUAUUAGCUAGUUUAAUUAACAGUGAAGGCCCACAUGUUAUGCACUGAUUAGGGGGGUUUAGUGGAUUAAUCCCGAUUAGGCCCUCCAUAAUUACAUAGGGUCGGCCCACACGCAGCUGCACAGCCAGGCAGAGGCCAUGGCCGGGCCUGCACGCAUGCACGGGGAAGCGCUCGCAGCAAGCGCGCGCGGGGGCGGACGGCGGCGUGGGUAGGGGCCAGGGCGCGCGGCAGGUUGCGGGGCUGCGAGGACGAGCAUCGGCGCGAGGCAACAGUUGGAGGCGGCGGUGGGUACGGGUGAAUGGAGCGAAGGCCGAAGGAGGCGCGGGCGGUUGAGGGCGUGGCUAUGGCAGCGGGCGGCUGCGAGCGCGGGGGUGACGGGUGCUACGGGGGCGUGGCAGAGGUGCAACAGCAGCAGCAGGAGGGGCGACGAGGGCGAGCAGCGGGCGAGCCUGCGACGCGGUCGAGCGGAGGUAGGGUGCGGCCGCAAGUAUCAGCCGUAGCAGAAGCAGCAACAACAGCGACACCUAGUGGUAGCAGCAGUACUCGAGUAGUAGUGGCACGUAGCGGCAGAAGUAGGGGGCGGUCGGGGCGUGCGCGGAUGCGUGCGGCGAGGUGCAAGGGAUGAGCGAGGCGGCGGCCGGAGUGACGGCAAGGGUGGAUCUGGGGCUAGGGGGCGCGGCAAGGCGAGCGGAUGGGCUCGUCGGCCUCCUGGCAGUGCCAAGAGCACAUCGGGAACACUAGUUCAUGUAGAGGAGCACGGGGUGCUCCACCCCCGUCGGCCAUGGCGGACGGUGGAGUUCUAUGCUUACGAAUGCGGUCAUACGGCAUGAAUCUGAGCGGGAAGCAAAGGGGAAACGAAGAGGGGCUCACAGUGAGCCUGUAGAUGAGCAAGGUGGGCUCGGGGGAGGCUCGAUGACGAUGAAUCCGACGAAGGUCGCCGACGGGUGCAAGGUUGAAGACGUCGUGGAUCCGGCGAGGCAGGGGGCUCCGGCUCGAGUUCCUUGGCAUGGGCGAAGCAUCAGAGCACGUCGGAGUGGAUGGCAUGGUCCUAGGGCGCAGGGUGGUCGAGGACCGCACGGGAAGGCAUCCCAUGGUGACGGCGGCGGCGGGAGCGUGAGUGAGGACGAGGGACGAGAGGAUGGGAAGUGAGGGCGCUAGGGUCUGCCAAAGGAGUGAGGAGGCGACUUAACCGAGCAGGGGGGCGACGGAUGGAUGGCGCGUGGCGAUCCGAGACCUGGACGCACGUGCGGCGUCCACGGUGCCUAUUGUGAAUAGGAGGUUGAAGGAGGAAGGUGAGUUGGGCUGGGCCUGGUCAAUUUGCUAGAUGGGCCAAGUGCCUAGUAGAUUAGGUCUUUUGUUUUUCAUUUUAUCUUUUCCUUUUUAUUUAUUUUAUUUUUUUGUUUUCUCGUUGUUUCCUAUUGUUUUAGUUUUUUGUAAAAUAUAUACUUGGCAUCUAAUUUAGUAUUUCAAUUUACUCCCCUGUGACAAAAAAGUCUAGUCCCCAAAUAAUUUGGUUUGAUAUUUUAUUAAUUAGUAAAGUGAAAGUGCAUUAUAUCGGCUAGAGGGGGGUGAAUAGGCGAUUUUUAUGAAUUCUUCACUGAGGAAUUUGUGGGUGAGGAAAUUCCUUAGCGAAGAACUACUUGCAGCGGAAUAAGUACUCAAAAGUAUGCAUAGCAGAACACAAGCAUAGUCAUCAUGAUGAAAUGAAGACAAGCACAGAGUACAGAAAGCGUAAACACAGGAUAACACAGGAUGAAGACAAACAGACUAAAGAAAUUGAACUGAGGAAAUUGAGAAAGUCUUUAGUGAAAGUCUUCAAACACAGAUAUGAACAAGUGCACAACACAGUAAUGAGGAAAUGAAAGAGUUGAGGAAAUAGAACCAGUAGGCUUGGUGAAGACAAUGAUUUGGUAGACCAGUUCCAACUGCUGUCUCAGUUGUACGUCUGGUUGGAGCGGCUAGGUAUUUAAACCUGAGGACACACAGUCCUUACCGUAUUCUCCUUGAGCUAAGGUCACACAGACCUCGCCCAGUCACUCGUGGUAAGUCUUCAGGUGACUUCCAAACCUUCACAAACCCGGUCACUCGGCGAUCCACAAUUCCUCUUGGAUGCUCUAGACCAUGACGCCUAACCGUCUGGAAGAAGCACAAUCUUCAAAGGUAACAAGCGUCGGAUCCACGCACGAUCAAUCUCUUCAGUGAUGCUCAAUCGCUUUGGGUUUGUAGGUGUUUGGAUUUGGGUUUUCCUCACUUGAUGAUUUUCGCUCAAAGUCUUCGGAGGAUGGGAUGCUCUCAAGCUUACCAUUGAGGAAUGCACUUUUCACAUCCAUUUGAUAUAAAGUGAUAUCAUGAUGGUUAGCAUAAGCAAGUAAUAUGCGAAUAGCUUCAAGUCUAGCAACAGGUGCAAAAGUUUCAUCGAAAUCAAUUCUUUCAACAUGUGUGUAGCCUUGAGCUACAAGCCGUGCCUUAUUCCUCACCACAAGGCCAUUUUCAUCUUGCUUGUUGCAUUAGAUCCACUUUGUGCCAAUGAUAUUGUGUUUGUGAGGAUCUGGACGAUUGACCAGUUCCCAGACGUUGUUGAGCUUGAACUGAUGUAAUUCUUCUUGCAUGUCCUGAAUCCACUCAGGCUCCAUAAAUGCUUCAUCUACCUUAGUGGGCUCUAAGAUAGAGACAAAAGCAUAGUGCCCACAAAAUUUAGAUAAAUGUGAAGCUUUUGAGCGUGUGAGAGGACCUGGUGCUUUAAUGUCAUCGAUGAUCUUUUCAACUUGCACUUCUUUUGCAACGCGAGGAUGAGUAGGUUGUCGUGGAGGAAUUUGAUCAGCAUUUUCUUCAGCACCAUUUUCUUCAGCAUUUUCUUCAGGUGCAUUAGCUCGACGUUCUUCACGUUCUGGAAUGAAUUCUUCAGCAGAUUCUUCAGUAGGAAUGACAUCCUCAGUAGCCUUGAACUUGAUAGUUUCCUCAGGUGCUGGUUCAUCUAUCACAGAGGGUAGGUGCUCUCUUUGCGAGCCAUUAGUUUCAUCGAACCGCACAUCUACAGUUUCAACAACCUUGUGAAGAACGUUGUGAAGACUCUGUAGGUGUGCGAGUCCUUUCCGUAACCAAGCAUAAAACCUUCAUGUGCUUUCACUACAAAUUUAGCAUUGUGAUGAGGAUCUCUAACCCAACAUUUAGCACCGAAGACUUUGAGAUAACUCACAUUGGGUUUCUUGUCAGUGAGGAGUUCAUAGGCAGUCUUCUUGAAGAAUUUGUGAAGAUAUACCCUGUUGAUGAUGUGGCAUGCAGUAUAAAUUGCCUCAAUCCAGAAGUGACGAGGCGUCUUGUACUCAUCAAGCAUAGUGCGAGCCAUCUCAACAAGAGUUCUGUUCUUGCGCUCCACGACGCCAUUCUGCUAAGGAGUGUAAGGAGCAGAUAACUCAUGAGUAAUACCAAGUUCAUCAAGAUAGUCAUCAAGACUAGAAUCCCUGAACUCAGUUCCAUUGUCACUUCUGAUGUGCUUGAUCUUCAUACCAAAGUUGGUUCAAGCCCUCGAGAAAAAUCGUUUGAAGACUUCCUGCACUUCAUGUUUGUAAGUAACAAUGUGUACCCAUGUAUAUUGAGAGUAAUCAUCAACAAUAACAAAGCCAUAGAGAGAUGCAUCAUUUGUGACAUCUGAGUAAUGAUUAGGACCAAAGAGGUCCAUGUGAAGUAAUUCGAAUGGUCGAGUAGUGGUCAUGAUAGUCUUCGCUGGAUGCUUAGCCUUGGUCAUCUUUCCAGCUUCACAGGCUCGGCACAAGUGAUCCUUGAGGAAUUUGACAUUCUCAAUGCCAAUGACAUGCUUCUUCUUCGCAAGCGUGUGCAAAUUCCUCAUGCCUGCAUGACCAAGUCGUCGAUGCCAUAGCCACCCUUCUGAAGCUUUUGCAUGUAGGCACACGGCUGGUUGCGGUCCUAUAGAGAAAUGAACAAUAUACAAAUCUCCUCUCCUAAAUCCUUCGAAGACUUUGGAAUUGUCAACUUCCAUAACCACAAGACAACGAUGUUUGCCAAAGACAACAACCAUAUCAAGAUCACAAAGCAUUGAGACAGACAUGAGGUUGUAUCCUAAGGACUCGACAAGCAUGACUUUGUCCAUGUGUCCAUCCUUUGUGAUCGCAACCUUACCUAGACCCAAUACCUGACUUUUGCCUUUGUCAGAGAAGAUGAUAUGCUUCAUAUGCGAUGGUGAUAAGGGAGCAUCCAUCAGUAGAUUCUUGUCACCAGUCAUGUGAUUUGUACAUCCACUAUCGAGGACCCACUCAGUGGCUUUGGGUUGAUCAUCCUGCAGAUGAAUUAGUGCAGCUUACGACCUCAUAUACUUCAUCAGUGAAGAAUAUGACAUCACAAUUCAUCAGACCAAUUUCAUCAAGCAAUAGAACAUAUAAGCAGUAUGAGGAUGUGAGAAAUGAAAGUUCAUUUCUUCAUGAUUAGCCUGCGUCCUUUCAGGUACUUUUUAGGUCUCCAUCAAAUUCUUCAGACGUUGAAGUAUGUCUGGAGACCUGACCCUGCAAAAAAGAUUAGUUCUUUUUCUUCACCACCCACAUCUGAAGGGGUGGCAAAGAAUUCAUCACUCUGCGAGCUCCAUACGAAAAAGGUGGCAUAGAAGCCAAUCCAUUUCGUUUCGCAUAAGAGAAGUUAGGGUAAGCAUAUGAAUAAGCAGAGAAAUUCUUCGAGGAGUUAUGAACAUAAUGAUUAGAAGAAUAAUGCUCAUAUUUAUAGCCCUUAGCUCUUCCCUGCGAAACAGAGUUGUUAGCACGAUGAUGUUGAUAUGAGGACUUUGAUCCUUUUGAGGAAUAUGAUCCAUGUGAGGAAUUUGAUCAAUAUGAAGAAUUUGGUCCAUAUGAUGAAUUUGAUCUGGGGUUCCUAUUCUUCACAGGUGGUGUCAUGAGGACAUUCACCUGAAGACUUUCAAGGCACCUUUUGGGAACCCAGAUUUUCUUCAUAGGAGAACCGUUCCUGCAGUUAGUGCCAACAUAUCUAGCAAAUACUUCACCAUUCUGAUUUUUGAACAGUUUAUAGUUGGAGUCAAAUGACUCAUCAGAAGAAUGAGAAGAUUCAUAUGUAAAGCCAGAUAAAUUAGAUGGAUCAACUGGAGGUCCCUUUGCAGCAACCCAUGAGGUUUUGGGGUACUGCCCAGGCUUCCAAUAUGUACCAUCAGCAUUGAGUUUCCUCUCAAAGGCAAUACCUUCUUUCCUAGGGUUCUUGUUGAGGAUCUGCUUUUUAAGCACAUCACAAAGAGUCUGAUGCCCUUUGAGGCUUUUGUACAUGCCUGUCAUGUACAAUUCCUUCAGCCCUGCAUCGUCAGUGAUACUAGCAAUGUCCUCAGAUGAGGAAUUAGUGAUAGCAGAGACAGUUGAAGAAUUUGUAGCAUUAGAAGCAUUUGAACAUUCAGGUGAAGAAUUAGCAGAUUCACGUUCAAUGCACUUCAAACAUGGAGGAACAAAUUCUUCCUGAGUAGCGCUGAUUUGUUGAGCAAGUAAUGAAUCACGCUCCUUAUGAAGAUCUUCAUAACUCACUCUUAGCUUCUCAAGAUCUUGCUUUCUUUGAAGAAAUUCAUAAGAAAGCUUCUCAUGAUCAAACAAGAGAGUGUUAUGAUGACCUUGAAGGUUGUCAAAUCUAGUCUGAAGUCUCUGAUGAUUUUCAGUCAAGGUUUUAGUGCGAUCCAUUUCUUCACCCAACAUAUCAUCACUGUUGUCUAGCAUGUUUUGAACCUUUUCAAAAGCCCCUUGUUGUUUCACAGCAAUCUUAGCAAGUUUAGAAUAGCUGGGCUUAAGGUUUUCAUCAGAUUCAUUCUCACUUGAUUCAGAGGAGGUAUAUUUGAGUACCUUGGCACCCUUUGCCAUGAAGCAAUAGGUGGGAGUGUAGUCAUCAUUGCCUUCAUCAGCCUUGUUGGUGAGAUCAUUUUCUUCAGUGUUGAAGAUAGACUUGCUGACGAAUGCAGUAGCGAGGGCUAGGCUCGCCACACCGGAUUCGGAAUCCUCAGAUGCCUCCUCUUCCUCAUUUUCUUCAGAUUCAGCAUCAGAGUCCAUUUCCUUGCCAAUGAAUGCCCGAGCCUUCUUGGAGGUGCUCUUCUUGUGAGAUGAAUACUUUGAGGAUUUUGAUGAUGAAGAUUUUGAGGAUUUCUUCUUUUUCUUCACAUCAUCAGAACUAUAAUCCUCGUAUUUCUUCUUAUUUGAUUCCUUUUCCCACUGAGGACAAUCUUGAAUGUAGGGUCCUGGUUUCUUGCAUUUGUGACAAAGCCUCUUCUUGUAGUCACUGGAUGAGGAAUCAUUGCUCCUUAAGGGUCUUCCAAAGCGACCACGUCUUCAGAACUUCUAGAAUUUCUUCACGGGCAGUGCUAGAUCAUGGCUCAGUUCUUCAGGAUCACCAAGACUGCUAUCAGAGUCUUCAUCUUCAGACUCAGAAACUGCCUUGGCCUUCAGUGCACGUGAUCUGCCAUUGCUCGAACCAAAGAGAUCUCUCUUUUCAGCAAGCUGGAACUCAUGAGUAUUUAGCCUCUCAAGGAUAUCAGCGGGAUCAAGUGACUUGUAAUCAGCAUGCUCUUGUAUCAUCAAUGCCAGAGUAUCAAAUGAGGAAUCAAGCAAUCUCAGCAGUUUCUUCACCACCUCAUGGUCGGUGAUGUCAGUGGCACCGAGCGCUUGAAGCUCAUUUCAGAUGUCAGUGAGGCGAUCGAAGGUUUGUUGAACAUUUUCAUUGUCGAGUAUUUUGAAGCGGUUGAAGAGAUUGCGAAGAACAUCAACUCGAGAGUCACGCUGUGUUGAGACUCCUUCAUUGACUUUGGACAGCCUAUCCCAGAUAAGCUUAGCAGUUUCCAAAGCACUCACUCUUCCAUACUGUCCUUUGCUCAGAUGGCCACAUAUGAUAUUCUUCGCUUGAGAAUCGAGUUGCUUGAAUCUCUUCACAUCAGUAGCGUUCAGUGAGGGUGAGACAGAGGGAACACCAUUUUCCACAACAUACCAGAGAUCGUUAUCAAUUGCCUCAAGAUGCAUUCACAUCUUAUUCUUCCAGUAGGGGUAGUCCAUCCCAUCGAAGGUAGGACACCCAGCAGAGACCUUGAUCAUACCUGCAGUCGACAUAACUAAAACUCCAGGCGGUUAAACCAAAAUCACACAGAACAAGGGAGCACCUUGCUCUGAUACCAAUUGAAAGUGCGUUAUAUCGACUAGAGGGGGGUGAAUAGGCGAUUUUUAUGAAUUCUUCACUGAGGAAUUUGUGGGUGAGGAAAUUCCUUAGCAAAGAACUACUUGCAGCGGAAUAAGUACUCAAAAGUAUGCAUAGCAGAACACAAGCAUAGUCAUCAUGAUGAAAUGAAGACAAGCACAGAGUACAGAAAGCGUAAACACAGGAUAACACAGGAUGAAGACAAACAGACUGAAGAAAUUGAACUGAGGAAAUUGAGAAAGUCUUCAGUCAAAAUCUUCAAACAAAGAUAUGAACAAGUGCACAACACAGUAAUGAGGAAAUGAAAGAGUUGAGGAAAUAGAACCAGUAGGCUUGGUGAAGACAAUGAUUUGGUAGACCAGUUCCAACUGCUGUCUCAGUUGUACGUCUGGUUGGAGCGGCUAGGUAUUUAAACCUGAGGACACACAGUCCCGGGCACACAGUCCUCACCGUAUUCUCCUUGAGCUAAGGUCACACAGACCUCGCCCAAUCACUCAUGGUAAGUCUUAAGGUGACUUCCAAACCAUCACAAACUCGGUCACUCGGCGAUCCACAAUUCCUCUAGGAUGCUCUAGACCAUGACGCCUAACCGUCUGGAAGAAGCACAGUCUUCAAAGGUAACAAGCGUCGGAUCCACGCAGGAUCAAUCUCUUCAGUGAUGCUCAAUCACUUUGGGUUUGUAGGUGUUUGGGUUUGGGCUUUCCUCACUUGAUGAUUUUCGCUCAAAGUCUUCGGAGGAUGGGAUGCUCUCAAAUGACAAGUGUCAGUUUCUCUCGGAGCAGCCAACCAGCUAGUGGUUGUAGGGGGGCGGCUAUUUAUAGCCUAUGGAGCAGCCCGACAUGAUAAGACAUAAAUGCCCUUCAAUGAUAUGACCGUUAGGUGGGUAGAUAUUUUGGGACAGCUGGCGCAUAGCACAGCAACGGUUGGAAAUUUGAGUAUCAAAUUCCUCAGGGCUAUCAUGUUCCUCACUGUGUAGGCAAUCCGCACUGGCGAAUUCCUAACUCCUCAGUCAGAACAAAUUCCUCAGAGACCAGAAGAACUUCGUCUCUGUCAUUGAAGAAUAUGACUGAACUAUAUGAGAUUUCCAAUGGCUUCACUUGAAGGGAUUGGUAGGUGUAGGAUUUUGAGUUGAGCAUCACAUGGAAAUUUUUCCUUAGUAUUUCCUCGACCCCCUUUAACAGUACGGUGUUUCUGAUGACUCAAGAAAGAGAAAAUGAAACUACGAAAACAAAAGUCUUCACGCUUCAUGUUCCUCAAAUGAAUACCAAGUCUUCAAGGUCACACCAAUUUCUUCACUUUCAAAGUCUUCAGAAAUCCAAAGUUUCAGUCGAAGAACUUCAUUUUUAGGGGUCGACUUUCACUGUAAAUAUCAAACUCCUCAUAGACUUAUAGACCUGUGUACACUUAUAAACACAUUAGUCCCUUAACCUAUAAGUCUUCAAUACACCAAAAUCACUAAGGGGCACUAGAUGCACUUACAUAAAGGCAUUUAUAAUUAUGUUUGCUACUACUUAAAUCAUUUUAGUGCAGUUAAGCAUUCCAUAAAAGUUUGGUUUCACCACCAUAAUCACCUAUGCAUUAUCUGGCAUGACCCGAACAUUUUAGUUUCAUUGUUUGAAAACUUUUGUUGUUU
This 35398-nucleotide long non-coding RNA is filed under the name Triticum aestivum (bread wheat). RNAcentral's name for it is "long non-coding RNA (TAES_LNC000129)". The record is from RNAcentral. Lineage: Eukaryota; Viridiplantae; Streptophyta; Magnoliopsida; Poales; Poaceae.